GACGAACGCUGGCGGCGCGCCUAACACAUGCAAGUCGAACGAGAGAUGAGGAGCUUGCUCUUCAAAUCGAGUGGCGAACGGGUGAGUAACGCGUGAGGAACCUGCCUCAAAGAGGGGGACAACAGUUGGAAACGACUGCUAAUACCGCAUAAGCCCACGGCUCGGCAUCGAGCAGAGGGAAAAGGAGCAAUCCGCUUUGAGAUGGCCUCGCGUCCGAUUAGCUAGUUGGUGAGGUAAUGGCCCACCAAGGCGACGAUCGGUAGCCGGACUGAGAGGUUGAACGGCCACAUUGGGACUGAGACACGGCCCAGACUCCUACGGGAGGCAGCAGUGGGGAAUAUUGCACAAUGGGGGAAACCCUGAUGCAGCGACGCCGCGUGGAGGAAGAAGGUCUUCGGAUUGUAAACUCCUGUUGUUGAGGAAGAUAAUGACGGUACUC
RNAcentral lists this ribosomal RNA (439 nucleotides) under uncultured bacterium. RNAcentral describes it as "bacterial SSU rRNA". It matches the Rfam family "Bacterial small subunit ribosomal RNA", at positions 28 to 480 of the family's 1533-position model. The record is from RNAcentral.